RNAcentral lists this ribosomal RNA (460 nucleotides) under uncultured bacterium. Its description in RNAcentral is "partial 16S ribosomal RNA". It matches the Rfam family "Bacterial small subunit ribosomal RNA", at positions 338 to 795 of the family's 1533-position model. The record is from RNAcentral.
CCUACGGGUGGCAGCAGUGAGGAAUAUUGGUCAAUGGGCGCUAGCCUGAACCAGCCAUGUAGCGUGAAGGAUGACUGCCCUCUGGGUUGUAAGCUUCUUUUAUAUGGAAGUAAAGUGCAGUAUGUAUACUGCUUUGCAUGUCCCUUAUGAUUCAGGAUCGGCUAGCUCCGUGACAGAAGCCGCGGUAAUACGGAGGAGCCGAGCGUUAUCCGGAUUUAUUGGGGUUAAAGGGGGCGUAGGCGGGUAGUUAAGUCAGUUUGUAAAGUUUGCGGGUCAACCGUAACAUUGCAGUUGAUACUGGUAUCCUUGAGUACAGUAGAGGUAGGCGGAAUUCGUGGUGUAGCGGUGAAAUGCGUAGAUAUUACGAAGAACUCCGAUUGCGAAGGCAGCCUGCUGGACUGUAACUGACGCUGAUGCUCGAAAGUGUGGGUAGCAAACAGGAUUAGAUACCCGAGUAGUC